GAUGAACGCUAGCGGCAGGCCUAACACAUGCAAGUCGAACGGUAACAUGAGUAGCAAUACUUGAUGACGAGUGGCGCACGGGUGCGUAACGCGUAUGCAACUUACCUCUAACUGGAGAAUAGCCUUCCGAAAGGAAGAAUAAUACUCCAUAAUAUUACGAUGUGGCAUCACAUUGUUCUUAAAGCUUCGGCGGUUAGAGAUGGGCAUGCGUCUGAUUAGCUUGUUGGUGAGGUAACGGCUCACCAAGGCAACGAUCAGUAGGGGGCCUGAGAGGGUUAUCCCCCACACUGGUACUGAGACACGGACCAGACUCCUACGGGAGGCAGCAGUGGGGAAUAUUGCGCAAUGGGCGAAAGCCUGACGCAGCCAUGCCGCGUGUGUGAAGAAGGCCCUUGGGUUGUAAAGCACUUUCAAUUGGGAAGAAAGGUUGCGUGUUAAUAGCACGUAGCUGUGACGUUACCUUUAGAAGAAGCACCGGCUAACUCCG
This 487-nucleotide ribosomal RNA is filed under the name uncultured bacterium. RNAcentral's name for it is "bacterial SSU rRNA". It matches the Rfam family "Bacterial small subunit ribosomal RNA", at positions 28 to 505 of the family's 1533-position model. The record is from RNAcentral.